Molecule: ribosomal RNA, 791 nt
Filed under: Peromyscopsylla selenis
Lineage: Eukaryota; Metazoa; Arthropoda; Insecta; Siphonaptera; Leptopsyllidae
Description: eukaryotic LSU rRNA
Rfam family: Eukaryotic large subunit ribosomal RNA
Source: RNAcentral
UCAGUGUGCGAUUGACCGGGAUUCGUCCUGUGAUACGCCUUGGUGGCGAGGUCAUGCACUUCUCCCCUAGUAGGACGUCGCGACCCGUUGGGUGUCGGUCUACGGCGUAGCCUGUCGUGAAUUGGCAGACCCCGCGUGUCCUGGCCGACCGCCCGACGGUAUAGCGUUCGGCCGGUCGCAAGCGUGUGCGGUUCUUUUGGCUGUCGGACCUGGUCCGGCACCGAUCCCGCGCGUGCUGUUGGUGACCGUGUCCUCGGACAGACUCUACAGGUCAGCGAUGCUAUUGCUUUGGGUACUUUCAGGACCCGUCUUGAAACACGGACCAAGGAGUCUAGCAUGUGCGCAAGUCAUUGGGAAUUACAAAACCUAAAGGCGUAAUGAAAGUGAAGGUUCGCUUAUGUGGACUGAGGGAUGAUGGUUCGGUGCAAACUCGCAAUCCCGGGGCGUCUCACUCUCUUUGAGAAGAGGCGCACCUAGAGCGUACACGCUGGGACCCGAAAGAUGGUGAACUAUGCCUGGUCAGGUCGAAGUCAGGGGAAACCCUGAUGGAGGACCGUAGCGAUUCUGACGUGCAAAUCGAUCGUCGGAACUGGGUAUAGCGGCGAAAGACUAAUCGAACCAUCUAGUAGCUGGUUCCCUCCGAAGUUUCCCUCAGGAUAGCUGGCAUUCGAAUGAGCGAGUCUCAUCCGGUAAAGCGAAUGAUUAGAGGCCUUGGGGCCGAAACGACCUCAACCUAUUCUCAAACUUUAAAUGGGUGAGAUCUCUGGCUUGCUUAAAUAGUGAAGCCAGAG